RNAcentral lists this non-coding RNA (47 nucleotides) under Trichobilharzia regenti. The record is from RNAcentral. Lineage: Eukaryota; Metazoa; Platyhelminthes; Trematoda; Strigeidida; Schistosomatidae.
CACUGGCUGACGAGUUGCAAAUAGGACGAAAUGCGCGUUGUCCUGGG